UUCCAUUUCGUUUUUCACAGCCGCUGAAAGAUGAAUGAGAGACAAAACUCGAAGCAUGUAAGCGAGUUGAUGUUAAAGUGUGGCGUUAAUUAAAAAUAUGCAGUCAGCCUACAUGUUUUAAAAAGCGUUAAUAUUAAAUAAAUGUCUCUGCGGAUGAAUAUAUGUCAUCUUGUCUGGACUGAUAUUUGUCAGCGGCUUUGCCUGUUUAAACAGAGUCACACAAACAAAUACAAGGCCAAAGCCAUUAAAUCCAUAUAAAAUAAAUUCCGGUAAUAAAUAUACCAGUUAAUAAUUAGGAAAGAAGCAGCUGAAAAAGCCGAAAGACUGAAACACCUCCAGCACGCUGAGAAGUGGGAGAUGCACAUCAGUUUAGCUCCAUGAGGUUGUUCCCGCAUUUCCUACAGCACAUGAAGGCAGCAGCCGUGUGUGUACGUCGUGAGCACGAUAAGGACUAUGGGUAAGCUGCAGCAUGGGGUGAGUUGCAUAAGGUUACCAUAGGUAACAACAGUGACAGCGCUGGCUGUUUGAGACCCACCCUGUGGCGCCGCGUCCUCCUCCUGAUGCAGCGUAUCGUCAGGCUCGCUUCCUGCCGGGAGCUCAGCGGCCUCGCGGGGCGUUCGCCCGACCUCUGCGCCUGGAAGAGGGGCCGGAUCUGUAGCCGUAAGUCGGCCAUGCACCGGCAGUGGGCGGAGGGCUGUGCUCGUCCCUUCAGCGGGGAGUCCGGCGCGCAGGGCCGGCGGAUGUGCAGGCAGAGGUUCGUGAUGGCCGGUCAGACACUCAGACAGUUCAGCUCAGAGCCGGGAGCCGAUGGGCCGCAGGGGAACCGCAGUGGUCAACCCGCCAUCUCCGUGGUCGGCAUCCCGGAUCCGAUUACAUUUAUCCGCUGUAAAGUCAUCAUGUAUCUCACCAAGCUGUACUUUGAUGUAGACAUCAACUCUGUGGAGUUUGACAGAGGAGUCAAGCAGGCUUUGGUCCACGUCUCCAACUUGAUGGCCAGUGGCAGAUACCACAGGCUGGUGGACAUAGUGUCCAGUGAGAUGAUGGAGCACGUGGAGAAGAAGUGCAGGUCUCUCAGCGAUGCUCAGAGGCAGCAGCUAGCGGUUACAAUGGAUGAUAUUGUAUUUGUGCUGCCCGAAGACGUGUCUGUCGUCUUCGAUCAAUACGACAGGAAGUUCUGCUUCGUCGUCAUGAGGUUUUGGAUUCUGUCAACACACGAAGGCCCCGAUGACCCCGAAGGCACAAAGAUGUUCAAGGUGGCCCCUAGUAAAGAUGGCGGUCCACAGAAGAAGAUGGCGACCGCGGUCUACGAAUCUUUGAAUCCCCUCUGAGAAAGCCUGUUACACUUCAAAUGUUAUCCCAAAGGCUAGCAAACAGGCAGUUUGGCAGGAUAAGGAAGAACAUUGUUUUCAAGGUUCCAGAGGGAGCUGACGAGGGGAGCCUCUCCUGACUGGACUGUCACGACUGUUUGGCACUGGCAGUGGAAAGCAGCUGAGUGAUUUGACUCGACGCCGCGAGGCCAUUUGUCAGUCAACAGGAGACAGCAAGGGGGGUAGUGUUUGGCUGAAUUUACUUAUUUGUAAAAGACAACAUGACACCGGACCACAGGCACAGCAGCCACAAGACUGAUUGUUGAAUGAACCGACUGUCUGCGAGGAUCACAUGAAACGGGACCCAGAGCCGCAACACUAAAGCUGAGCAGAUGACUGAAGACCUCAUAACUUUAGAAAUAAACCCGUCUUAGUACUUGAAGUCAUCCUUAGACCCUGAGAUGCCUUUAAAGCCUCCUUUCAGUGCUGAUGUUACACAGCAGGGGAACUUGAUUUUUUUUUUUUUUGCCAAACUUCUAUUUUCUUAAGGUCAAGAAUGAACUGUGACACUGAAGUCUGCAGUUUUUUUGUACAUUGUAUAAAUAAAUUGCUUCAUCAUAUCAAGAAGGUUUGCCAUUGAUCCCUCACCGUCAAGACCUUCCUUUUUAUAACUUCUGUACA
Molecule: RNA transcript, 1988 nt
Organism: Scatophagus argus
Lineage: Eukaryota; Metazoa; Chordata; Actinopteri; Scatophagidae
Exons: 6
Source: RefSeq, a predicted model, not a curated record